UACAGAGGGUGCGAGCGUUGUCCGGAAUCACUGGGCGUAAAGGGCGCGUAGGUGGUGGCUUAAGCGUGCGGUGAAAGCUCGGGGCUCAACCCCGAGUCGGCCGUGCGAACUGGGCUCACUGGAGCAUAGUAGAGGCAGGUGGAAUUCCGGGUGUAGCGGUGGAAUGCGUAGAUAUCAGGAGGAACACCAAUAGCGAAGGCAGCUCGCUGGGACGUUACUGACACUGAGGCGCGAAAGCCAGGGGAGCAAACGGG
This 254-nucleotide ribosomal RNA is filed under the name uncultured bacterium. RNAcentral's name for it is "partial 16S ribosomal RNA". It matches the Rfam family "Bacterial small subunit ribosomal RNA", at positions 524 to 776 of the family's 1533-position model. The record is from RNAcentral.